AUUGAACGCUGGCGGCAUGCUUUACACAUGCAAGUCGAACGGUAACAGGCCUUCGGGUGCUGACGAGUGGCGAACGGGUGAGUAAUGCAUCGGAACGUACCCAGAGGUGGGGGAUAACGCAUCGAAAGCUGUGCUAAUACCGCAUGUGAUCUGAGGAUGAAAGCGGGGGACCGAGCAGCAAUGUUUGGCCUCGCGCCUUUGGAGCGGCCGAUGUCGGAUUAGCUAGUUGGUGGGGUAAAGGCCUACCAAGGCGACGAUCCGUAGCUGGUCUGAGAGGACGACCAGCCACACUGGGACUGAGACACGGCCCAGACGCCUACGGGAGGCAGCAGUGGGGAAUGUUGGACAAUGGGCGCAAGCCUGAUCCAGCAAUGCCGCGUGCGGGAAGAAGGCCUUCGGGUUGUAAACAGCUUUUGGCAGGAACGAAACGGUGUCCGCUAAUACCGGGCGAUAAUGACGGUACCUGCAGAAUAAGCACCGGCUAACUACGUG
RNAcentral lists this ribosomal RNA (492 nucleotides) under uncultured bacterium. Its description in RNAcentral is "partial 16S ribosomal RNA". It matches the Rfam family "Bacterial small subunit ribosomal RNA", at positions 29 to 507 of the family's 1533-position model. The record is from RNAcentral.